RNAcentral lists this transfer RNA (16 nucleotides) under Astelia nivicola var. nivicola. RNAcentral describes it as "partial tRNA-Leu". Lineage: Eukaryota; Viridiplantae; Streptophyta; Magnoliopsida; Asparagales; Asteliaceae. The record is from RNAcentral.
CUCUAUCCCCAAUAAA